RNAcentral lists this ribosomal RNA (867 nucleotides) under uncultured bacterium. RNAcentral describes it as "bacterial SSU rRNA". It matches the Rfam family "Bacterial small subunit ribosomal RNA", at positions 76 to 944 of the family's 1533-position model. The record is from RNAcentral.
UGCUUUUGAUGGGCGUCGACCGGCGCACGGGUGAGUAACGCGCAUCCAACCUGCCCACCACUUGGGGAUAACCUUGCGAAAGUAAGACUAAUACCCAAUGACGUCUCUAGAAGACAUCUGAAAGAGAUUAAAGAUUUAUCGGUGAUGGAUGGGGAUGCGUCUGAUUAGCUUGUUGGCGGGGUAACGGCCCACCAAGGCGACGAUCAGUAGGGGUUCUGAGAGGAAGGUCCCCCACAUUGGAACUGAGACACGGUCCAAACUCCUACGGGAGGCAGCAGUGAGGAAUAUUGGUCAAUGGACGAGAGUCUGAACCAGCCAAGUAGCGUGCAGGAAGACGGCCCUAUGGGUUGUAAACUGCUUUUAUAAGGGAAUAAAGUGAGAGUCGUGACUCUUUUUGCAUGUACCUUAUGAAUAAGGACCGGCUAAUUCCGUGCCGGCAGCCGCGGUAAUACGGAAGGUCCGGGCGUUAUCCGGAUUUAUUGGGUUUAAAGGGAGCGUAGGCCGGAGAUUAAGCGUGUUGUGAAAUGUAGAUGCUCAACAUCUGCACUGCAGCGCGAACUGGUUUCCUUGAGUACGCACAAAGUGGGCGGAAUUCGUGGUGUAGCGGUGAAAUGCUUAGAUAUCACGAAGAACUCCGAUUGCGAAGGCAGCUCACUGGAGCGCAACUGACGCUGAAGCUCGAAAGUGCGGGUAUCGAACAGGAUUAGAUACCCUGGUAGUCCGCACGGUAAACGAUGGAUGCCCGCUGUUGGUCUGAAUAGGUCAGCGGCCAAGCGAAAGCAUUAAGCAUCCCACCUGGGGAGUACGCCGGCAACGGUGAAACUCAAAGGAAUUGACGGGGGCCCGCACAAGCGGAGGAACAUGUGG